This is a long non-coding RNA of Carcharodon carcharias (great white shark), 942 nucleotides long. RefSeq lists it as uncharacterized. The record is from RefSeq and is a predicted model, not a curated record. NCBI's taxonomy places the organism in Eukaryota, Metazoa, Chordata, Chondrichthyes, Lamniformes, Lamnidae. The transcript is spliced from 2 exons.
GGCGGCAUCAUGAUCGGUUGAGGUUUCCAUUAAAAUUAGCGCUGCGCGCGUCCGGGCCUCAGGCCUUCGCCGGGAGACGACUGUGUUCCACUCUAAUAAUUUCUCAUUAAUGACUUGAUUCUCAAUAUUUAUUAGUGUGCCCAGGACCCUCUGGUGAUUUGCAACGGAAAUAAUCAAGAUUUUAAGGGUGUUUUAUUCAAACAAAAAUCGACAGGGAUGGGCGGGCCCAGCUUUUUUCUCGUCGUUGAUUGGCUGAUGCGGCGUGGGCGGAUCGUGAUCUACCUUCCCAUUGGUCAACCUGGAUGUUAACCGCCCUGAUUGUUAGGCACCCAAGAACCUCUUGUAUCGUAUGAACAUAGGAGCAGGAGUAGGCCAUUCGGCCCCUCAAACUCGGUCUAUCAUUUAACUGGACCAUGGCUGAUCUCCCUCAGCGCCAUCUUCCCGCAAUAUACCCGUAUCCCUCGAUGUCAUUGGCAUCAAGAAAUCUACCUGCUUUGAAGAUGCUGAACGGCUGAGCCUGCACCGCCCUCUGGGGUAGAGAGUUCCUAAAGAUUCCCCGCCCAACGACUGAAGAGAUUCCUCCUCAUCUCGGCCCUUAAAUGGCCUGCCUGCUGUCCUGGGACCUGGUCCCCUGGUCCUAGGCUCCCCCGCUCCGCGCAACCAGGGAAAAGGUCCUAUCCAUGCGGCGCCCUGGAAGAAUUUUGCACGUCUCCAGUGAGAUCGCCUCUCGUCCUUCGGCACUCCAGGGAAUGCAGGCCCAGUUUCGUCAGCCUCUCCUUAUAGAACAAACCCGCCAUCCCGGGGAUUGGCCUGGUAAGCCCUCCUUGCACUCCCCCUACGGCCAGUGUAUAUGUCCGGUUUCCCUGGACCCAACCCAACCCAACCCAAUUUAUUUCAGUUUCAGCACUGAUAUGUGGAAAUAAAUAGUAUAUUACGCUGAAA